Molecule: ribosomal RNA, 301 nt
Filed under: uncultured bacterium
Lineage: Bacteria
Description: partial 16S ribosomal RNA
Rfam family: Bacterial small subunit ribosomal RNA
Source: RNAcentral
CAGUCGCCGCGGUAAUACGAAGGGUGCAAGCGUUAAUCGGAAUUACUGGGCGUAAAGGGUGCGUAGGCGGUUGUUUAAGUCUGUUGUGAAAUCCCCGGGCUCAACCUGGGAAUGGCAAUGGAAACUGGACGGCUAGAGUGUGUCAGAGGAUGGUGGAAUUCCCGGUGUAGCGGUGAAAUGCGUAGAGAUCAGGAGGAACACCGAUGGCGAAGGCAGCCCCCUGGGCCUGUACUGACGCUCAUGCACGAAAGCGUGGGGAGCAAACAGGAUUAGAUACCCCCGUAGUCCCUGUCUCUUAUAC